UACCGUGAGAACUCGGUGAUCCAGAUUAUAAACUAGUGAAUACUUCAGAAGGUUAUCAGAAAAUGACUGGUCUCGAUACGUUUCACAGUCGGGAAGAUAGAAAA
This is a long non-coding RNA of Zingiber officinale, 104 nucleotides long. RefSeq lists it as uncharacterized. The record is from RefSeq and is a predicted model, not a curated record. The transcript is spliced from 3 exons. NCBI's taxonomy places the organism in Eukaryota, Viridiplantae, Streptophyta, Magnoliopsida, Zingiberales, Zingiberaceae.